Molecule: ribosomal RNA, 496 nt
Filed under: uncultured bacterium
Lineage: Bacteria
Description: partial 16S ribosomal RNA
Rfam family: Bacterial small subunit ribosomal RNA
Source: RNAcentral
GAUGAACGCUGGCGGCGUGCCUAAUACAUGCAAGUCGAGCGAACAGACGAGGAGCUUGCUCCUCUGACGUUAGCGGCGGACGGGUGAGUAACACGUGGAUAACCUACCUAUAAGACUGGGAUAACUUCGGGAAACCGGAGCUAAUACCGGAUAAUAUAUUGAACCGCAUGGUUCAAUAGUGAAAGACGGUUUUGCUGUCACUUAUAGAUGGAUCCGCGCCGCAUUAGCUAGUUGGUAAGGUAACGGCUUACCAAGGCAACGAUGCGUAGCCGACCUGAGAGGGUGAUCGGCCACACUGGAACGGGGACACGGUCCAGACUCCUACGGGAGGCAGCAGUAGGGAAUCUUCCGAAAUGGGCGAAAGCCUGACGGGGCAACGCCGCGUGAGUGAUGAAGGUCUUCGGAUCGUAAAACUCUGUUAUUAGGGAAGAACAAAUGUGUAAGUAACUAUGCACGUCUGGACGGUACCUAAUCAGAAAGCCACGGCUAACUACGU